This 670-nucleotide ribosomal RNA is filed under the name Salmonella enterica subsp. enterica serovar Typhimurium. RNAcentral describes it as "bacterial SSU rRNA". It matches the Rfam family "Bacterial small subunit ribosomal RNA", at positions 1 to 648 of the family's 1533-position model. Lineage: Bacteria; Pseudomonadati; Pseudomonadota; Gammaproteobacteria; Enterobacterales; Enterobacteriaceae. The record is from RNAcentral.
CAUCAAACUUUUAAAUUGAAGAGUUUGAUCAUGGCUCAGAUUGAACGCUGGCGGCAGGCCUAACACAUGCAAGUCGAACGGUAACAGGAAGCAGCUUGCUGCUUCGCUGACGAGUGGCGGACGGGUGAGUAAUGUCUGGGAAACUGCCUGAUGGAGGGGGAUAACUACUGGAAACGGUGGCUAAUACCGCAUAACGUCGCAAGACCAAAGAGGGGGACCUUCGGGCCUCUUGCCAUCAGAUGUGCCCAGAUGGGAUUAGCUUGUUGGUGAGGUAACGGCUCACCAAGGCGACGAUCCCUAGCUGGUCUGAGAGGAUGACCAGCCACACUGGAACUGAGACACGGUCCAGACUCCUACGGGAGGCAGCAGUGGGGAAUAUUGCACAAUGGGCGCAAGCCUGAUGCAGCCAUGCCGCGUGUAUGAAGAAGGCCUUCGGGUUGUAAAGUACUUUCAGCGGGGAGGAAGGUGUUGUGGUUAAUAACCGCAGCAAUUGACGUUACCCGCAGAAGAAGCACCGGCUAACUCCGUGCCAGCAGCCGCGGUAAUACGGAGGGUGCAAGCGUUAAUCGGAAUUACUGGGCGUAAAGCGCACGCAGGCGGUCUGUCAAGUCGGAUGUGAAAUCCCCGGGCUCAACCUGGGAACUGCAUUCGAAACUGGCAGGCUUGAGUC